AGGCUCCCAAAGGCACGUG
RNAcentral lists this small nuclear RNA (19 nucleotides) under Arabidopsis thaliana (thale cress). RNAcentral's name for it is "snRNA_00373". The record is from RNAcentral. Lineage: Eukaryota; Viridiplantae; Streptophyta; Magnoliopsida; Brassicales; Brassicaceae.